GCCUUCGUGGUGUAGUGAUCAGCACGCUCGACGUGUAUUCGAGAGGUCCGUGGUUCGAGUCCCGGCGAGGGCA
Molecule: transfer RNA, 73 nt
Filed under: Stegodyphus mimosarum
Lineage: Eukaryota; Metazoa; Arthropoda; Arachnida; Araneae; Eresidae
Rfam family: tRNA
About the family: Transfer RNA (tRNA) molecules are approximately 80 nucleotides in length.
Source: Rfam by way of RNAcentral